Molecule: long non-coding RNA, 269 nt
Organism: Nanorana parkeri
Lineage: Eukaryota; Metazoa; Chordata; Amphibia; Anura; Dicroglossidae
Exons: 3
Source: RefSeq, a predicted model, not a curated record
AGGGCUACGAUGACCUGGAAAAGCAACUCAAAGAGGUUUUCAUGGAGAGAAGUAGCAUCCUCCGGCAACUUUCCAAAACGUCCAAGGAACUGGAGGGCAUCAAAGGAAAUCACCAGUCCACGAAAAACAAUGAAGCAUCAUCCAAGAGUGAUGUUCAAAAGCUUUUGGAAUUAGAAGAAAGGCAGAGAGAAGAAAUGAAAUCCCUGCAGGAAGCAUUCACAAAGCAACUUAAUGAGGCGAAUGAAAAGGCUGAGAAGCAUCAGGCCACU